GACGGACGCUGGCGGCGCGCUUAACACAUGCAAGUCGAACGGAAAGGCCUGCUUUCCCUUGUGGAUUGCGGGUACUCGAGUGGCGAACGGGUGAGUAACACGUGAGUGAUCUGCCCCCAACUUGGGUAUAAGCCUGGGAAACUGGGUCUAAUUCCCGAUAGGACUGCAGGGUGGUGCCUGUGGUGGAAAACGAUUUUCUAGUGGUUGGGGAUGAGCUCGCGGCCUAUCAGCUUGUUGGUGGGGUAAUGGCCUACCAAGGCGGCGACGGGUAGCCGGCCUGAGAGGGUGGACGGCCACAUUGGGAAUGAGAUACGGCCCAGAGUCCUACGGGAGGCAGCAGUGGGGAAUAUUACACAAUGGGCGGAAGCCUGAUGCAGCGACGCCGCGUGGGGGAUGGCGGCCUUCGGGUUGUAAACUCCUUUCGACCGCGAGGAAGCCACCUGGUUGGAAGGGUGGUGACGGUAGUGGUAGAAGAAGCACCGGCUAACUACGUG
RNAcentral lists this ribosomal RNA (494 nucleotides) under uncultured bacterium. Its description in RNAcentral is "partial 16S ribosomal RNA". It matches the Rfam family "Bacterial small subunit ribosomal RNA", at positions 28 to 507 of the family's 1533-position model. The record is from RNAcentral.